AUCAUCACCUCUCUCUCUCCUCCCUCCCAACCGUCCCCCAUCUCUCUCUCUCCAUCUUCAAACCUUCAAACUCUUGUUCUUCAUGUUCAUCACUAUUUCUAACAACCUUCAAGUGGUGUGAAGAUUCAAGGGUGAUCUCAAGGUGUUCUCUAGUGAUUCAAGCUUCCCAUCAUCUUCACUAGAAUUUCUACCCUAGCUUUGUGCUAGUAGUUGUCGUGUAGCGGACAGGGUUUGAGAUUCGAUUCAAGACGCACUACUGAGCUGUUGCUUAGGAUGUUCGUGACACACUAGGGCGGGCCUAUGCCUUAGAGACUAAAAUAAAGAUGGAACCAGUUUAAUUAUGUGAUGAACACUUUGUUUCAGCUAAUUUAAGACUAUGUAACCUUUGCUUGAUGAAGGGCCGUCGCUCAACGGAUAAAAGUUACUCUAGGGAUAACAGGCUGAUCUUCAGAGACUACGAGUGUAAUAGGAG
This is a long non-coding RNA of Helianthus annuus (common sunflower), 472 nucleotides long. RefSeq lists it as uncharacterized. NCBI's taxonomy places the organism in Eukaryota, Viridiplantae, Streptophyta, Magnoliopsida, Asterales, Asteraceae. The transcript has 3 exons. The record is from RefSeq and is a predicted model, not a curated record.